RNAcentral lists this long non-coding RNA (240 nucleotides) under Lathyrus oleraceus (garden pea). RNAcentral's name for it is "Pisum sativum (pea) long non-coding RNA (PSAT_LNC018090)". Lineage: Eukaryota; Viridiplantae; Streptophyta; Magnoliopsida; Fabales; Fabaceae. The record is from RNAcentral.
UUAAAAAUUAAUUUUAUGCAUUUUUAAAUUCUGAAAAUUUUAUUAUAUGUUUCUUAUUUUAUUUUCAACCUUCUAUAAUUUUCUUGGCCAUUUAUUUGGUGUUUUGAAGGAUUUUAUGGAUUUUCCAUUUUUUUUCUAUUUUAAAAUUCAUUUAAAAAUACCUUUGAUGCAUUUUUAUUUCAUUUAAUUGAAUUUUAUAUUUGUGUGACCUUAUGAACUUAUAUUGGCCUUGGAUCAUGA